Non-coding RNA from Tetraodon nigroviridis (spotted green pufferfish), 46 nucleotides. The record is from Rfam. Lineage: Eukaryota; Metazoa; Chordata; Actinopteri; Tetraodontiformes; Tetraodontidae.
ACAAAGGCUCUUUUAAGAGCCACCUCCAGCCUUCCACAAGAGCUCU